GAUGAACGCUGACAGAAUGCUUAACACAUGCAAGUCUACUUGAACUUCGGUUUGGGUGGCGGACGGGUGAGUGACGCGUACAGAACUUGCCUCACAGUUAGGGACAACAUUUGGAAACGAAUGCUAAUACCUGAUAUUAUAAUUUUAGGGCAUCCUAGGCUUAUGAAAGCUAUCUGUGCUGUGAGAGAGCUUUGCGUCCCAUUAGCUAGUUGGAGAGGUAACGGAUCACCAAGGCGAGGAUGGCUAGCCGGCCUGAGAGGGUGAACGGCCACAAGGGGACAGAGACACGGCCCGUACGCAAACGGGAGGCAGCGGUGGAGAAUAUGGGAAAAUGGACCAAAAGUCUGAUCAAGCACUUCUGUUUGCACGAUGACGUUUUUCGGAAUGUAAAGUGCUUUCAGUUGGGAAGAAAAAAAUGACGGUACCAACAGAAGAAGCGACGGCUAAAUACGUG
Molecule: ribosomal RNA, 454 nt
Filed under: uncultured bacterium
Lineage: Bacteria
Description: partial 16S ribosomal RNA
Rfam family: Bacterial small subunit ribosomal RNA
Source: RNAcentral